Non-coding RNA from Arachis ipaensis, 351 nucleotides. The record is from RefSeq and is a predicted model, not a curated record. NCBI's taxonomy places the organism in Eukaryota, Viridiplantae, Streptophyta, Magnoliopsida, Fabales, Fabaceae.
UGAAUGACAUUCUUGUCCAGAAGCAUUAUUAUAGACGUUAAUUUUUACUCAGAAAGGCAAGGUUAUCUGCAUUCAAGAGAGAAACAUCAGCAACAAGGAAAAUGAAUUCUCUGUAUCCAUAGCUGAAAACUUGCAUAACUUCUAUCUUCGCAAGCGAAUGAUUUAAAUAGGAUUCCAAGGAACAAGAGGAGAAAGAAAUCGUACCGUAUUAUCACACGAGAGUCUUGAUGUUUCUCGAUUCCGAUCGGUCACUGCCUCAACGGAAUGUAUCGAGUAAUUGCAACAGAAUUUGGACAGAAAAAUGUGAAGCUCUGAAACCCUAGAAUUGCGGAGGUGACAAAGGACAAAAAA